This is a ribosomal RNA of Panthera pardus (leopard), 119 nucleotides long. The record is from Ensembl. Lineage: Eukaryota; Metazoa; Chordata; Mammalia; Carnivora; Felidae.
GCCUUUAGGGACAUACUAUCCUGAAUCCGCCUGAUUGUUUUGUCUCGGAAGCUAAGGACUUUCGGGCCUGGUUAGUACUUUGAUGGGAGACCGUCUGGGAAUACCGGGUGCUGUAGGCU